RNAcentral lists this microRNA precursor (202 nucleotides) under Oryza glumipatula. Its description in RNAcentral is "MIR812 microRNA precursor family". It matches the Rfam family "MIR812 microRNA precursor family". The record is from Rfam by way of RNAcentral. Lineage: Eukaryota; Viridiplantae; Streptophyta; Magnoliopsida; Poales; Poaceae.
ACUAAAUAACGCCGUUGACUUUUAGACACACUUUUGACCAUUCGUCUUAUUCAAAAAAAUUACAUAAUUAUCAUUUAUUUUGUUGCAUUGUUUUAUCACUAAAAAUACUUUAAGCAUGAUUUAUAUCUAAUGCAUUUGCACAAAUUUUUUUAAUAAGACGAAUGGUUAAACGUGUGUCCAAAAGUCAACGAUGUCAUCUAUU